CAAAAAACAAAACACUUGAGUCUAUUCCUUUUUCCUUGACUUGAGAUAUUUGCAAGCUUGUUCCAUAAUCUGUUAAAGAAUUUAAAGUAUUUCUGCAUCUCUUUCAAAGAAAUGUAAGUAUUAUGUUGCAGAUUCAUUCUCUUACUUUUCAGAGGACUAGUAUCAAGAAGAAAGGGUGCACUAAGUGCAUUGUUUUCUCUAGAUGAAGGGACCCUAAAGCCAGGACCUGAUUGAAACACCGUAGGGAUUUAAUCAAAUCUGAUGGUGAUUCAUGCUUCUAAUGGCCAAAACUGUCCUUAACUACUUUACAAACUGAGGGGAAUAAAACCCCGUUUUAUUGCUUGGCCGUUAAAAACUAUUUGUAGAAGUUGCUAAGGUUCAAAUCAAAAGCACCCUCCCUUGAGAACCAUUAGUUAAUUCAAAGUGCCAUGGUGUUGCUUUUUUUCUUCUCCCCUCGCUUGAGAUGUGGCCUUAUAUCACUAUUGCUGUUCAAACAUCUGAGAGUUUUCCAUUCCUUUGACAAACAUGAGCCAAAGUGCUUAAGGACAUCUGUUUAUUUUAUUUCUUUAAUGAGAAAACCUUCCAAUUUCUUACAGGCUCAGCUGUGUUUAUUUACAUUUUGUUAGUCAUAUGUGUGGGGCACCUUGGGAUGUUAAAAACCUGCAGAGGCCUAUGUAGAGGGCUGCUAGCAGGCAUCCUGGUCAGAAAGGCAGAAUGAGCCCUUCCUAAGGAAAACACAGUCCUUGGAACUCCAUAAAAUAGAUUUUCAAAACAAACAGAGCCUAAUUCACUCAGUAGAUCAUGGAUUAAGUCAAGAUGAAUACAAUUUGGAAAGGAUUUUCUGAGGAAGUUGGAGAUUUUUUUACCCACUGGAGGCUAAACCUUGUAUUUAAUGCCUUUUUAAGUUAAAUUAAAAAAGCGUUCAAUCACUGCAGGUAAUAAAAAAGUCUGUUACUUUAGACAUGCUGCUACAUCAAUUAUUAGUUCAUUAUUGGAGAGAAGGGAGUAAAUAAUUCCAGCUAUUUGAUUAUUUCAAAUGUGUAUUUCGGGAGCAAACAUCUGUGUUUAUCAUCUGUACUGGCUCGAGCGGCAGCAGAAACAGCAAAACCAGACCCACAACAGCUUCGAUGCUGGGCACGGGAGAUGCUCUGAGCUCAUGUAGAUGUAACCUCUUGUACUAGAGCUUAGGUGAACUGAGGGCUUUAUAAGCAAAGUGCAUGUGUGGCAUUUGGAAGUAUUAAAGGAUUAUUUCUGACAUAAAAUACAUGUCAGGAACAAUGCUGGAUUGUCUAACGAGCAUGAGUAAAGGGAACCUGCUUUCCCGUGUUGCUGAAUUAUGACUUGAUUUUUAAGGGAAAGGUAGUAUAAAAAAGGAACGUAACUCGCAUUAGGAAGUUGCAUGUACAACAUGUGUAGUUGUGCUGAGGUUUACACGCCAUGAUGUGUUUCCACCAAGCUUUCCAGGAGUUUUGUAUUUUUCACAGAGCUAUCAAGGGCUUGUGUAGAAAUAUGGUGAUUUUCCUGUGAGUAGGGCAAGGGGGUUAAAACAUGUAUUUGUUUUAAAGCCACUCCUUUUUUGACAUUUAUGCCCUGUAUGGUAAAAAGAAAUUAUUUGUAGACUUUUGGUCGUGAACCUUUCGUGUUACUGUUGUGGUUUAACAGUGAUAGGCAGCUAAGUACCACACAGCCACUCUCACCCCCUCCUUAGCAGCUGCUGUGGGGAAGGUUAACUCCAUCCCAGCCAGACCCAGUACAAUUCCUAAAAAUAACUUCCAUUUGUUCUCAAGCAUUAUGGCCCAGCUUUUAAAAUGUAUUUAGGUACUGUAUUCCCACAGGCCUGGAAUCCACCCAUGGGUUCAGGCACUGUAUAAAUUAGUUAUUCCUGCUUGUCCCUAAGCAUAGCUCAUUUGGAGAGGGAGGAGAGCCUUUUCAACCUCUGUCUGCUUCUCGAAUGUGAGGAUUUAAUUACUGACACAUCCAUUUGCUUAUUGCAGUGAUUUCCAAGGUGUAGUCCCCAACCACUUCUGAACAGAUCCAUGCCAGUGAGUUACAGUCCUUCAGUAAAUAGUAAGCAGUACUGUGGAAGUACCUCCCAAAUCACAGCAAUGGUGAAUAAGAAAAGGUAUCUGAAUAAAUGCGAUUAAGUGAUACUUGCUCUCUGUCUAGCUUGGACAUGCCAUGAGGUUACACUGCCAAUGACUGUAGAGACAUCAUUUAAAUUCAGUAGAUUGUCUAACAAACCUGGAUAGGUUAAUGUUUAGGUAAAACCAUAUGUCUUCAUUUUGGCGGCCAAAAAGUUUAGAGCCUGGAAAUGAGAAAACUGGGUGAUGCUAUUUGAAAAACGACAAUUCUUUGUCAAAAGAAAUGUAGUCACUUCAAAAAAUGGGUUUGAGCUCCUGAGCUACUUGGGUACUUAAAACAAAUGGUCUCACAAAUAGCCACUCUCUCAAUUGAAAAGCUCUGAGAAGCUGGGUCUAACAGUUACCUGGUUCUAUGAAAAAAAGAUAAAACUAAGGUAGUUAAAUCUAGUAAAAGAGCUAAAUGUGUUUUCACCCUCCAAGAGGGUGAUGAGGGAACACAGGGACACACAGGGACACCACAAGGACACACGGGGACAGAUGGGGACACAGGACACAAAGGGACGUGGGCAGCCCUAUACUAGGCAGGCAGCACGGCCAUGGGGCCAGGCACAGCAGCUGCCCCCCUCGACUUACUUGAACUAGAACUGAUGCACAAGGUUAAUUUUCCAUUUUUAUGGGAAAGCCUGGUUAAUGUCUCAAAUUCAGAUCAAGGUAUAAAAUGUUACAACCAAAGAAUGAUUAUUCUGACAGGCUCUCUUUGUUCAAACAUGUGGCCCAGGCGUUUGUGUCUUUGCUUUUUUUUAUUAUUUUUAUACUGCAACCAAACCGGUCCAUUUUUCAGGAGUUUCCAAGUAAUUAAACCCAAUUAAAACUAUUAAAUUCUUUCUCUUGGUGACAACUUCAUUAUUAACAGCUAACCACAAGGAAGAGAUUUAACUUAGGAAGCCCUUGAUUGUAUACUAAUCCGUCUCUCACCUCUGGCUGACACCUGUGGCAGAUAAACCCUACAGAAUAGAAGUCUGAUGAAUAACCUUAAUUAAUACUUUCUUCCUUGUAGAAAAGUAAUUAUUUGCUCAUGGCAUAAACAGGUAUUUGACAGGGAUUUAAAGACAGUGAUUGGUUUUAAGUAGAAGGGCUUUAUUUUUUUUUAUUUAUUUUUUUAAGCGGGGGGGUAGGGAGGUCUGAGUCCAAGAUUCACGCUCCGAGUGACUUUGUCCUAGCAUUUUGAAUGUCGGGUUAAUUGGCACAUUGCUAAAUAGAAGCAGAAUCAGACAACAAGCUGAUUUGUUAUCUGUCUCAAAGGAGCCAGCUUUGCCCCUUUGCUAAUGGCCUGCAUGUCUGAACAGGGUACCUGUAAGGCAGAGGAUUGGAACUGGCUGAUUUGGAGCCAGGAUUGGGUUGAGAGUGACUUGCACUUGAGAGAUUGCCAGAGAUAAGUCUGCUUCUUGCUUCCUUUCAAAAUUACGCUAUACGAGAGGGGCAAGCUGGCUGUGGACAUCCAGCCAAGUGGAUUAGUAGUAACUGCAGGUGUUAACAAACACAUGUCUUUUUAAUGCAUUCUUUAGGGCAAGUAUAAGCAGUUUGUGAAAAAUCCAGCUCAGUGUUUCAGGAGCAGUGGUAAGAAGGCCAUUUGGGAGGAUACUGACAGUGCAGUUUGAAGUGUGGCUGCAUCCACCAUGGACUUUUUUGCAGGUAAUGCUACCUUUAGUAGUGAAAAUACAGCAACACAGGCAUCUGCAUAGGUGAGCCUGCCUUUUGAGCAAGGCCAGACUGAAGGCUGCUCAUCAAGCUCCUUCUAGCCACCUUCUGUCAUCCUAUUAUUCAUAGUGAGAAAAAUGAAACAGAAACAGAAUGAAUUUUAGGAAGGAUAUUUUUAGCUUGUACGACAUAAGUGAAUUAAAAUUGUGAUUUUAAACUGUAACGCAAUUCACAUCUGCAGAACUAAUUCAAAGAGGAGCAGUGCAUACAACUAGCCAGCACAAAAGCAGUAUUCAGAGCACAUGUGUCAGCUCAUGCUUUUGGGAUCAGAAAGAAAACAUUUACCUCGGUGAAUGGACACUUUUGCCUUCCCCCGCAGAGUGUUUCACAGGCUUCUCUUUUCUGUGUUUUCCUCUAGUAGGGCUAUCUGUUGAAAGGGCAGCAAAGCUGCCCCCAAACAAGCAGUUACAGAUCUGGGAGUUGGCAGUGCCUCGCUUCUAGUGAAAAUUAUCUCGUUCACAGCGUUGUCAGCAGUAGGCAACAGCACAUCAGUCCCUCCUCUUAGCUAGAAGUCACAUCCUGUGAUAGACACAAUAGGGAGACAUGUCCGGGAAUACUCUUUAGGAUCAAUAUACUUGGUCCAAAUGUGUUUUUGUUGUUGUUGUUGUUGUUUUUUAAAAAAGAGCUUAUUUUCCUCUUUUUAUGUUUUAAUACUUUGUGAAAAAGUGGAGGGGAAUGGGGCAUUUUUACGUCUCAGUUCUCUCAGGAUGUACACUGAGCAGAAAUGAGCAGCUGUGAAACACUACUACUGGGUAAAUGUGGAAGUGAAGGUGCGGCAGUUAGGGGGAAUAUCAAGCUCUUUGGGAAUGAGUACUUCAAAAUGAGCACCACUGCUGUGAUGCUUAUCCCAUCCAGCUGACGGGAAGGAGCCCGUUAAGGCUGUGUUGAUCAGUCAUGAGCUGAGCUCUGUUGGGGUGCCUGGUUUGUCGUGUAAUUUUUGGGGCUGUUUAAUGUUAACCCUGGAGAAAGCUCCAACAAUGUGCCAUGCAGAGGUGAGGCACACAGAAAUGCACUGUGGUGCUGGAGGUUUUAUUUAUAGGAGUUCGUUGCCUGUUUUCUAUCCCUGCCUCUCAUUGUCCUUGUUUGUAAAAGCAUGACUUGUAGAUUAGCAGAGGGGUAGGACCUCACGCUUCUAAUGUUACUGAACAAGCGCUCAGGGUCGAGGUUUUAGGUGAAUCUGUUUUCACUGUAAAAAAAGUGGUUCCUGGAGGAGAUAUGAUUUCAAGCUGACCACAGCCCUUUUGUUUUUGGACUUCACAUGCAUCAGAAAACAUUGGGUAGAUCUGUUACUGAGGAAGCUGGUUCCUAGGGCUCCAGGGUGCACUUUUCCUAUGGUAAGACAUGUUGGCAGGGGUCAUCAUUAUGGAUGCAGCAACUUUACAUUGCUCUGCUAAACUCACACUGCUCUAACAUAGGCAUUAGCAGUCCACUAGGGCAUCGCCUGCAGCACAGCCUUAUCCUUUAGUCCUUCUGGACUUCAACACUUAGGAAGACCUCUCCAUUAACAUCUUUAGGAAAAAAAAAAUCAUAAUUCUCUUUCCAGUUCUUUAUACAGUAUACAGAGAAUUCUGACAACACAUUGAUAUACCUGUGUCAUUUUUGUGCUUGCCCAUCAGUCUUUUUCUCCUGUUUAUUCAUACUUGAAUUGCAAGCUGUAGGUAGGGACUGUGUUUUUCCUCUGUGUGGGUACAACUAGCACAGUGGGGUUCAAGUCUGGGACUAGUGCUUCUAGAUCAGUGCAACAGUAAUGCAAAUAAAUAAUUGCUAGUAGAACCCUGGCCUAGUGCCUCUAGACACCUACAUCAUACUGGGAGCACUGAUUUGCCUUUUAACUUUAUCAGCUUAAGACUUGGAAGCAUGCCUUGUUGCAGAGGAAAUAUCCAUACUGUGAAAGCACUGAUGCCAAAUCAUUUCCCCAAACGACUUCCCCUCUGGGUGGUAAAGUGCAUUUUUCUGUUUUAUUUUCAUUCCAUCAUAUUCUCUAUCUCAAGAGAAAGAUUUUUUUUUCCUCUCAUCUACAGUUUAAUUUCCAUAUUGUUUAGUUUAAGAGAAGGUAACUUCAUACACUGUGGAAAUGUUUCUUACUCCCUGUUAGUGAUUAAUACCAAUAAAUCUAAAGACAAAACUUAGAGAAUAAAUGACAGAUACCAAUGAAUGAGACUUCCUAAAAGAGGUUUAAAGGCUAAUGAUCCUUGAAAUGUAUAAAAAUAAAUUGCUUCAUUAAAAACUAUUUUACAAAAUCAUUUCUUCCUAGCAGCAUAUUUUCUUCAAAACAGUUCCCUCGUGUAAUUACACCUGGGUAGUAAAAUUUGAUUCAGUGCUGUUCACAUGGGGCCACGGUCAGAUGCCCUAAUUGCGCCUGUGUCCCUGCCCCUCAUCAGGGGAGCAGGUUUGGGGCUUAAAGGUAGACAUGUUCAAGGCAAGCCUGGUGGAGUUUACUUUUUGCCCAGAGGAGAAAGUGCCCUUCUUCCAGGGACAGCAAUAAGCACGUUUAAACAUGAGUAACUGAGCUUUUCUUUGGAUGGGCACAGUGCUUGUGAGUCACACACAUGGCUGAAACCACAGCCAUUCUACUCUAAUUAAAGAGAACUACACCAAGAAUGCGUAAUAAUUAGGUUAGCGUGUAAUACACCAUCCAUGUCAACAGCAUCUGCCGCAAAGGUUGAUUGAAAUGUACUCAUCCUCCAAACAUUGUGCUCCCUGUUAGAGUUCCUCAGCUAAUUCAUUACCGUCCUGUCAUAUAAUAACAUGACUCCACAGAAAUCUGCAGAAAAUUAGAGCAAAGACUACAUAUAAAUCUGACAUUUUAGCAUGGCUUGUAACGUUAGCAGAGGAAAACCACCCACAUAAAUGUAAAGAUGAGAGAUCCCUCUCCUAAUGAAGAUGAAUUACAAAUAAAAGCCUGUUGUGGGAAUGCUCUUUUUUCAAGUUCUGUUGUUGUUUAGUUUGAACAGGCAGAAUGCUUUUGAGCUUGUUUAUCGAAUUAACUGUAAAUUAUUUUUACUUGCAUUUUUGAAGAAGAAUAUAUCUGAAUGAAUAAUAAAUUUUUCUGCUAGAGACGUAGUCUGCCUCAGAACAUGUCUGUGCUUUUGUUGUGAGUUUAGGAACAAGGUCAGUUGUUUGAGGAAGAGGACGUGGAAAAGUGGCUGAGGCUUAUUUAAUACUGUAGUGCACCAGGCUGGGUACAGCAUGUCACUUGGUUGUAUUUCAGCGCAUCAGAUCCCUGGGGCUGUACCCAGUGCCUAGGAAGCAGCUUUGAAGCAGUACGCCAAGAGCUGUAGGAGCCCAGUGGCCCCUGUACCCAUCCACAGGGGCAGCACGAGGGACCAAGUGGAUUUGCUGCACACAUGCAGUCAGCCAUUAACAGUCAUUUCUACAUGGGAUUGUCCGCAAGUGGCUUUCCUGGCCAAACAGUCAGCCCGGCUGCUUUGGUCUGAUUGAAGCUUGCGCUUGCGACUUAGCGGGGAAAUGAAGUGGUGACCCCCUCACGGGCAGUUGUGGUGUCUUAGCUGGGUAGCAAGGAACAGGGAAAAAAAUCAUUUUCUAAAGUAAAUCAACUAAACACACAGGAGGUCCAUAUUGCUUGGGACAUCCUGGUUAGAGCUGCAGGCAGUGCAAUCCUGCACAGGAGUGUACUUGUUUUGUCACUGAUUUUGGUAGGAGCAGGAGCAGGAUGUUAGAAACUUCACAGGUGCUUAAAGUGUAUAGGAGCUGUUUUAGAGCUGCUGGCAUGUGUGUUUUCAUGUUCUUUUAUUCAUGAAAAAGUAUGUUUUCAUAAUUCUGUACGCAGACAGAGUUUCUGCAUCAUUUUCUUGCUGUUCCCUUUAAGGAAGCAGUUUGGGACCCUGUCUGGGGUCAAGUUAGGGCCAAGUUGGACCCAGACCUGGAUGAACUGCUGAUACAAGAAAAUUGCAGAACAAGCAAAGGGUGAAGCAGUCAGUCCAUGCAGGCAGGAGCAUCAAGUGCAUGUCACCAUUUCUAACAGCAGCUCAAAUGGCAUAUGGACUGAUCCAACAUUUUGAUGAGCUAUCUUGUUUUGUCUUUAUUUUAUAAAUUGAUGUAGCUAUUUGGGUGUAACUGCCAGUACGACAUCUCUGGCUCUGCAAGUAAGCUUUAUGCCACUGCAGAGCAUGUCCUGUCCUGAGCAAGAAUAGUCAGACUUGGACAAGCAUUUUAUCCUGCUAUAAUUGGAUUUGCAUGGGAGGAUGGGAUUGUUUUAACUCUGCUGGUACUGUUAAAUAAGUGGACACCUUCAGCAGAGAUGGAAGAGCUUUGCACCAGCGUGGCUGCUCUUGCAUCUCCAUGUGCACUUGUGCUACCAAGGCCAGUAGAUACUGUGCCACAGUGGGCUCUGAUGUGGGAACGACACGUCUGUCUUUCUGCCCUGCUCUGUGCUCAUCACCCAAGUUAGCAUGGUAGUAAAGACCUAACCCAAGCAUGCCGAGAUGCAGAUUGCACGCUUUAGAGAAAGAUAGUUUAUGUUUGAACUCGUGGGCUCUGUUUUCAGAUUCUGCUCAUCGUGUUGCUGCUUGACAUUAAAAGUCUACUUUCAUGUGUAAAGAAUAAUGCUGGCCUCUUACGGCUGAUUCAAAGGACAGAGUCUGGAAAGAAUCACCCUCUGUGGGCUCUGUUGUUCAUAACUGUCCCUUAGCUGCUCUGUACUGAUGCUAUUGGAAAUUACUUCUUGGUCCAACCUACUGAAGCAAUUCUUAUACAGCCUCAGGUGUUUAAAUGUUCUUGUUAAACUCAUCUGAAGGUACAGGCUGAAAUGCAUAAGGUGAGCCAUAUCCAUCCUUCAGAGAACAGAAACUGAUUAUCUAGUAGAGAAAAAAGAAAAAAAAAAGGGAUGGGAAAAUCAUGCUAAGAUACACUUGGGAAAUUAAAUGACUUUAAUGACCGUAUCUUCAGAAAAAGGAAUGUGUAGAUCCUGUGUCUAAGACCUCCCACCCCC
Cygnus olor (mute swan) is the source of this 8790-nucleotide long non-coding RNA. RefSeq lists it as uncharacterized. The transcript is spliced from 2 exons. The record is from RefSeq and is a predicted model, not a curated record. Lineage: Eukaryota; Metazoa; Chordata; Aves; Anseriformes; Anatidae.